This 368-nucleotide RNase P RNA is filed under the name Candidatus Peregrinibacteria bacterium. RNAcentral describes it as "RNase P RNA component class A". It matches the Rfam family "Bacterial RNase P class A". Rfam says of the family: Ribonuclease P (RNase P) is a ubiquitous endoribonuclease, found in archaea, bacteria and eukarya as well as chloroplasts and mitochondria. Its best characterised activity is the generation of mature 5'-ends of tRNAs by cleaving the 5'-leader elements of precursor-tRNAs. Lineage: Bacteria; Candidatus Peregrinibacteriota. The record is from RNAcentral.
CUUUUAAACCGUAGUAGUCGCUCUUCCGUUUAGCGGGAGAGAGGAAAGUCCGAGCACCGCAGAGCAGGGUGGUCGCUAACGGCGACCGGUUCCGCAGUAAUGCGGAAUUAGGGAAAGUGCCACAGAAACAAUGUCUUCCCGCUUAGCGGGAUAAGAGUGAAAAGUCCGCGAUAAUCAGCGCGGUCCGGCUAGUAGUGAUACUAGCUGGUGGUAAACCCCACCUGGUGCAAGGUAUGCAUGGGGGAAUGGAAAUAUGGAGUAGCUCGCUGUACCAUUCCUGCUGCCGCUUAGAUCCGCCACGGCGGACAAGAUAGAUGACUACUUCCGCCUCGGCGGAACAGAACUCGGCUUAUGAGUUUAAAUUUUUC